RNAcentral lists this ribosomal RNA (5659 nucleotides) under bacterium. Its description in RNAcentral is "23S ribosomal RNA". The stretch from base 3 to 3087 matches the Rfam family "Bacterial large subunit ribosomal RNA". The record is from RNAcentral.
CCUAAUGGGAGUGUAAGGGCGCAUGGUGGAUGCCUUGACUCUAAUUGGCGAUGAAGGACGUGGUAUAUCUGCGAUAAGCUUCGGGGAGGUGAUUAACAACCUUUGAUCCGGAGAUUUCCGAAUGGGGGAACCUAAUCGAGUAACCCUCGAUUGUUUGUAAUUUAUUACAUUCGCGCACCUAGGGAAGUGAAACAUCUCAGUACCUAGAGGAAUAUAAACCAAUAAAAAACUGCCCUUUUGUCGCGUGUGGUGCACACCUUGUGUGUACUCCAUUCUAACGCGGCACAAGGGUGGUUUAUGGAUUCCCUUAGUAGCGGCGAGCGAAAAGGGACAAGCCCAAACCUUCUGAUUAUUAUCAAGAAGGGGUUGUAGGGUGAUGACGGAGUUUACUCGAAGAGUUACAAAGAAGAUUAUUAAAGGAAUUUGCUGGGAAGCAAAACCAUAGAAGGUAACAGUCCUGUAUUUGAAAAUAAUCUUCCUCUUUUGUCAUCAUUCCUGAGUACUUCGGGACAUGAAUAGCCCGGGGGAAACCGCCAGGACUAACUGGCAAGGCUAAAUACGAUUAGAGAUCGAUAGUGAACCAGUACCGUGAGGGAAAGGUGAAAAGCAGCCCGGGAGGGCGUUGAAAUAGUUCCUGAAACCAUGUGUCUACAAUGAGUCGGAGCGCGAAAGCGCGACGGCGUGCCUAUUGAAGAAUGAGCCAACGAGUUGUUGCUAAUCCUAGUCUAAGGGGUAACCCCCGGAGGCAUAGUUAACGCGAGCAUUAAUAGUGCGAUAAGGGUUAGCAACAGACCCGAAGCCAAGUGAGCUUACCAUGAGCAGGGUGAACGCGCGCGAAAGCGCGCGGGAGGCCCGAACCGUUAGAUCGUACAACUUCUUCGGAUGACUUGUGGUAAGGAGUGAAAAGCUAAUCGAACUUGGUAAUAGCUGGUUCUCUCCGAAAUAGCUUUUGGGUUAGCGUCGUGUGAUCCCUCUGGGGGUAGAGCACUGGAAGGAAUGAACAGGGAGAAAUCUCGUCAUUCCUAUCAAACUCCGAAUACCAGAGAUUACAGCACGGCAGUUAGACUCCGGGGGCGAAGCUCCGGUGGUCAAAAGGGAAACAGCCCAGACCGUCAAUUAAGGUCCCUAAAUUCAUACUAAGUGCACUUAAGGAGGUAAGAUUUCUCCGACAAUGAGGAGGUUGGCUUAGAAGCAGCCAUCCUUUAAAGAAAGCGUAACAGCUCACUCAUUAAGAGAUCUCGCGCCGCAGAUUAUCGGGGCUAAGUAUGGUACCGAAAUUACGGAUUGGCCGCGUGUUCGCACGUGGUCAGUGGUAGGAGAGCGUUCCCUGUCGCGCUGAAGCCGGACCCGUGAGGGCUGGUGGAGCACAGGGAAGUGAGAAUGUUGGCACAAGUAACCGCAAGGCAGGUUAAAGCCCUGCCCGCCGAAAAACCAAGGUUUCCUUCGCACUGUUGAUCAGCGAAGGGUUAGUCGGUCCUAAGGAGAUGACAAUCGUCGGAUCCGAUGGCCAUACGGUUAAUAUUCCGUGACUUCCGCAUACUGCGAUGGAGGGACGGAGGAUAGUACACGAAGCACGCGAUCGGAUGUGUGUUCGUGCCUUAAGAAUAGCUACUAGGGAAAUCCGGUAGCAGUCUUCGGACAUAUUCAAAUGGAGCGAAAAUGCCGCGCUACGGCAAAGCAAAUUUCGUGGAGCAUCCUUCCAAGAAAAUCUUCUAAGCAUAAUUAUGUGGGAACCGUACCCCAAACCGACACAGGUGGUUAGGUCGAGAAGACCAAGGCGAACGAGUGAGAGGCCCUCAAGGAACUCGGCAAAAAAGCGGCCGUAAGUUAGCGAUAAGGCCUGCCCCUAGCAAUAGGGGCCGCAGCGAAAGAUUCCCUGGCGACUGUUUACCAAAAACACAGCUCCAUGCGAACUCGUAAGAGGAUGUAUAUGGGGUGACGCCUGACCAAUGCCCGAAGGUUAACUAUGGGCGGUGCUAUUCUGUUUACAGGGUAGUGCUGGACUAUAUAAGCCCGGGUGAAUGUCGGCCGUAACUAUAGGGAAGGUGUGCUACCACACUGUUGUAGUUACGCAAAAAAAUCUUGCUAUAUGCGGGAAACUCCGAGAAUCUUGUACUAGGCUAUUAUGGUGGUGACACCAUAGCGAACCCUAAAAAUGUACAAGUGCGGACAAUCCGCAGGGAAGACCUCUUUUUAUCAAAAACAGAGGAACCCUCAGAGACUACACGCAAGACAUCCAAUAGAUAAAUAGUAAGUUGUCGACUUUCUAUUGGUAAAGAUAUAGUCCGAUCUCUAUGGCGACAUAGAGCUAACAUGACCGAACGGUCCUAAGGUAGCGUAAUUCCUUGUCUGGUAGUGUGAACUGCCAGUGCGAACGGUGACGUUCGUAAAAAAUUCGGCUAAUAACGGUGAAGCCUACGUCCAUGUGGAUAAGGUAAUACCGUGGGAAGUCAUCACAAUCGUGAUUGACCCCGUAUCGACUUUGGUUUGGUAAACCAAGAUGGAUGUUUCUUUAAACUCCAUAACACGCCGACUCUGACGGAAGUCAGAUGAAGAUAUAGUCAGUGCCAUUGGAAACAAUGGAAUGAGAGUUUGUAUGAAAAUACAUACUCGAGACACACGAAGUUCAGACGUGCACGAAUGGCGUAACGACUGGGGAACUGUCUCGAGGGCUUGCUCGGUGAAAAUACAGUGGCGGUGAAGAUGCCGCCUACCCGUGGUUAGACGAAAAGACCCCAGAAGCUUUACUAUAGCUUGAUAUUGGGUAUACGGUGUUGUUGCGUAGCAUAGGUGGGAGACUUUGAAGCGUAGACUUCGGUUUACGUGGAGUCGCAAUAUGAAAUACCACUCUGCAACGUUGUAUACUCUAACCUACGUAGUAAAAAUGCGUGGAGACAGUAUCUGGUGGGUAGUUUUAGUGGGGCGCUAUCCUUGGCUGUGCCAUUUAUUGCAUAAAUGAAUGACGCUGCCAAACUAUGGCGCCCCCUAGGAAUCUACUCCGAUUCCGAAACAAAUAAAUAAGGGGGUAUUCUUGUAAACAAAAGAAUAGGUAAUUCAGCUAUAUGCUGAAACAUCUGUGCCUUUAAUGGCUGAAGAAUGCACAUUACCAAAGCGUAAAAAUAUGUGUAUGCAGACAAUCAGCAGGGAAGGCCUUGUAAAAACAACAAGGAACCCUCAGAGACUAUACGCUGAAUCCAUCGUGUUGAUGGAAAGAUAUAGUCCGAUCUCUAUGGCGACAUAGAGCUUGCUAGCUUAACUAGUAAGACCCAUGAAUACAAAAGAAAUCAGAGAGUAUAAAGAGACUCUUAAGCUUACAGAUAUUCAGCGAUCUGUUCUUAUAGGAACCUUGCUUGGAGAUGGUCAUCUUGAGACGCAAAAUGGUGGUAGAACCUAUCGUCUUAAAAUUGAGCAUUCAAGUCUGCAAAAAGAUUAUGUGCGGUGGCUAUACAAACAUUUCAGUGAGUGGAGUAGAAGUGGAAUAUAUUCAAAGACUAAGAAUGAGGGGCGAGAAUAUGUUGGAUUUAAUACUUAUUCUCACGGCUCCUUUCGAUUCUUCGGUCAACAGUUCUAUGAAGGUAGAAAAAAGAAAAUUCCACAAAUGAUCAGUAAGCUAAUUGAUCCACUUAGUCUCGCAGUAUGGUUUAUGGAUGAUGGUUCUUGGAAAUCUAAGAAACAUAAGACAUUUAUUAUUCAUACUCUAGGAUUCAAAAAAGAGGACCUCGAAUUGAUUCAGAAAGUUCUAAAGAAGAAAUUCAAUAUAGAGGUUUCUCUUCAUAGGCAAAAAGGAAAGUAUUGGAGGCUUUAUAUUGAUUCUAAAUCCGCAGAAGAUUUUAGGACAAUUAUAGAGCCGUAUACAAAAUCUAUUAUGUCUAUGAGAAAUAAAAUGGGUAACAUAAAUGCCUAAAAAGUAACGGAGGAGUCUAUUAAGGUCAGCUAGGCGCGAAUGGAAACCGUGCCGAUAGUGUAAUGGCACAAGCUGGCUUAACUGCAAGACGCACAUGUCGAGCAGAUGCGAAAGCAGAGCAUAGUGAACCGAUGGUCCGCUUUAGAUGCGGCCAGAGAUUAACGGAUAAAAGCUACUCUGGGGAUAACAGGCUGGUACUGCCCGAGCGUCCAUAGCGACGGCAGUGUUCGGCACCUCGAUGUCGGCUCAUCUUAUCCUGGGGCUGGAGAAGGUCCCAAGGGUUUGGCUGUUCGCCAAUUAAAAAGAUACGCGAGCUGGGUAAGUGGUUUAGAAUGAGCCCAGCGAGAGUCCUUCUACGAGAAAAAAUAAAAGAGGGAACAUAGUAAACUGACUCAUAACGGUGGAGUCCUCUUAUUCGUGGUAAAAUAUGGAUAAUGGAUAAUUCCGUGGGAAGAUUACAACAUCUUUUUCCAUCACAUCAAUUUGAUGUGAUUAUUGGGUCAUUGUUGGGGGAUGCGGGAUUAGAGUGUCGCUCAAAAGGGAUCAGAAACCCUGUGACGGCACGAUUGCGUGUCCAUCAAGGAGCGAAGCAAAAAGAAUAUGUUUUUUGGAAAUAUUUUAUUCUAAAAGAUUUAAUUUCUCGAGAACCUCGAGAAAUAGUUUGGGAUAAUCCAAAAAGAGGUUUACACGAGGUUUCAUGGUAUUUUCAUUCCAGAAGUUCAGAGGAACUCGGAGUGUUGUAUAACUACUUAUAUCCAGAGGGAUAUAAAGUGUUGCCUGUAGAUAUAUUCGAUAUGCUCACUCUUCAAAGCUUAGCAGUUUGGUUUAUGGAUGAUGGUUCUCACAACGAGAACAGUCUUACGUUAAACACUCACGGCUUUUCUAGGGAAGAACAAGAAAGAAUUGUUGAUUUUUUCUGCAAGGAGUAUGACAUUAUUUGUCAUAUUGUGAAAGAUAGAUCAAAAUUCAAGAUUGCCUUCGGAAAAAGCCAAGUAGAUUCGUUUAUACGUCUAAUUAAACCGUUUGUUAUUCCAGCAAUGAACUAUAAGGUUGUAUAUCCCCGUAACGACUUUCUGUUAAAAACAGAAGAACUCACAGUGUUUACUGGAGUUAACACGUCAGUUCCAAGAUUGGAAAGCUUGGAAAAGGUAUAGUCUGUUCUGCUAGAAAUAGCAGGUUAAGAAAUGUCAGACCGUACAGGAUGCGAUUAUAUCGUGUUCUGUACCAAUCUGAACCCCUUCGAUGAGUUUUAGUUUUUUCGUCUAAAAAAGAUAAACCAACCAUAUUACGGCGGCCUUUUGUGGCAACACAAAGGGAGAAGUCGACUCAUAUCGGUAAAACCCCAACCGGGGCAAUACCGAGGGAAGUUGCGCGAGCAACCCCGUAGAGACUACACGUCGACUCAUUCAGUAAUAUGAAUGAAUGGUAUAGUCCAAUCCAUCUGGUAACAGAUGAAAAGAUGCGUGAGACAGGUUGGUCUCCUAUCUACCACGGGCGUUGAUUUUUGAGGGGAGUUAUCCAUAGUACGAGAGGACCUGGAUGAACUGACCUCUGGUCUGCCAGUUGUCGCGCCAGCGGCAUUGCUGGGUAGCUAUGUCGGGAACGGAUAACCUCUGAAAGCAUCUAAGAGGGAAGCCGACCCCAAGAUCAGAAAUCGUUUGAGGAUCCUAGGAGAUGACUAGGUUGAUAGGCUCUAGGUGUACGUGUAGCAAUACAUUUAGCCGAGGAGUACUAAUGAUCCGAUCCCAUUAGGAA